AUCUCCACAAUGCAACUAUUUGCCACCCACCCACCAACACUCAGCUAGCAAUAAAACUGCUCACUGACCAAUGCCCCACUAGCAACAUGACGUCUUGCUACCUCCAAAUGACACCCAGCCAAUCCCUUAGCAGCAGCCCUUCUCUGGCCAACUCCCCAUAGCUUUAUGGCCUUCCACAUGACAUCACACAGUAAGGAAUAACCCCUGGCCUAAUUCAGGCAUCUGUCCUGGCUCUGCUUUGUGCCCCUCCAUUGCUCCAUCAUGGCAGCAGCUCUUUCCUUUUGAGCGGCUUGGCCUGGCCGCGGGAACACUUCUAUCACUCAGCAACAGCCAAAAUAUCAGUGUGCUAUUAACACUGUCUCAGCUAAAACCAGGACAGGAGGCUAACUUUCAUUAGGCUGCACGUUCCCAAGGAUUUCCCCCAAGACAAGCCUGAGAUAUUUGCGUCCUUUUUUUUCUUAUCGAUUGAUUCUAGUUUUUAAUCCAUCAAAAGAUUUUAUGUUGCAUCUUCAUGCCUUGAAACCCAACAUUUUCUUCUCAAGUUGCUUCCUUUGCUCUUCCAAGAGGACACAGCUCCCAUGUCAACGCUCAGCUCCGUAGUCAUCACUAAGAUUUUUAGGAAGAUGGGGAAAGUGGGAUAAUACCAAAAUCCACAAAAAUAUAUAUGUGCUGCAAAACCACAUAGAGAACAAGAGACACAAAAGAAGACAACAGAUUCUUUUUGCAUGGAUGAAAUCAUGAGUUUCUCCCUGGGAUCUUCCACAGCUCCUUUGAUCAGUCUUCCCAGAUCUCUCCCUGAAAUGUGCCAACAGAUCUGGUCCAAGUUAUUAAGAGAUGUACCAGCACUGAUCAAUUGGAGCAGUCCUCUUAUUUAAACUCCUGCUCUUACUUUGGAAUCCACUGACAGUCUUGACCAAGAGCUGAUUGUCUAGCAAAGGAAUGCCUCAGGCCUCCAUGUUGUUUCUGAAAAGAGGUAUUAGAUCUACCUCUCUGGAAUGGCAUCAUUGAAACCAAACAGAGGGAGAAGGUGCUUCGUGUGCUCUUCUUCACACUAAUACUGUGAAAUGUGCAGAGAUACAGAUGAGUAUUUGCCACGCCAGAACAUUCAUCAUCAGACUCCAUUUCAGUGGCACAAUGCAUACUUGUGGGUAAGUCUGUAAGAAGUGAGGUUUCUGAAGACAUCUAUUCUCAGACAGUCCUGCCAGUUGCACACAGUGUUAGACCUCAAGAAGCUUCAUGGUCCAAAU
This 1247-nucleotide long non-coding RNA is filed under the name Numida meleagris (helmeted guineafowl). Its description in RNAcentral is "lncRNA (ENSNMEG00000000528.1)". Lineage: Eukaryota; Metazoa; Chordata; Aves; Galliformes; Numididae. The record is from RNAcentral.